AUUACACGACGAAAAACUUCAUCAAAUUUGUUUUCCCCACACAAGCGAAAAAGCGACCAUUGCUCACGGGACAACCCAAAAGUCUCUGGUGUGCAUUCGCUGAAGCCCGCGCGUACUUUAAAUACCCGCUAACGUCGGAAAACGUUAUUAAACGCGCAAUCGUCAGUGUCGUCUCGUGGUUGCAGCAAGCGCGCGUGCCAGUUCGCGAAUCGCGAAAUCCGUUUUAUUAAACACACACACACACCACACGCUUAACGGAAAAAAAAUCACACACCACCGAGUGCGUCUCUUUAAACCGAUCGGUACUACCCGUGCGUUAUUUCCGUCGAGGGGUAACCAGUGACCAAGUAGCAGCAGAAAAGAAAAACAAAGUAAAGAUUUUAUUCGCGCAAAAGCGAUACACCAAAUCCUGCCGAGUCGAGGUGCUAAUUUGUGGUGCCCCCUUUCGGAGUGUUUAAUUUGUUUGUUUGUUUGUUUGUUUUGGCGUGUGAAACACCAUCUGGAGUGUGGUUAGUAAAGUUCUGCGUACCGAAAUCCGCGAUCGUUACCCGCGCCGGAAACCCGGAUGAGUAAAUAAUUCUGAACCCAUCGUUUUGCCGUAGCACGCUCUCGAUCGUUUGCUGGGGCGGGUUUGCUGCUGCAAGAAAGUGCAAAAAUUGCGUACCCCGAUAGCGGGUUCUGUUUACAAUCGCUAGUAGUACUGUCCCCGUCCCGUUGUUUGUGAUCAACCGAUCAUCAUCAGACCGAUCGAUUCGAUAUCCGGGCGUUGCGUUCAGUAUUGCUCUCACAGCAAAACCGUAGUUAAUGACCGCGGGCUUAUGAUAGUGGCUGGUGUGGUGAGUCCCGAGAGUCUUCCUCCCGGGUAACGCCAGCAUUUGGUUGCAUUUGGUUGAAGUUCUGGAGUACGAAAACAAAGUUUGUGGCGUUGGCUAGUUAUAGCUCAGUGAAAAUCGACGAGUACAUCAACAAAGUGCAAGUGCAAUAUCGCAAGUGGACGUGAGUGUCUGCAGUGCAGCAAGCAUCAUCAAGAGUUCCGCGAUCAUCAAGCGACGGAGACUCAUAUUCUCGCCGCCGUCGUGGAAGAGUUCUUCCGCCCCAAAAGGAUAUAGCCGAAACCGUACCGUACGCUCGGUACUGCCGAAGUGUGGUUUUAUGUUGGCGUAAUCGUGACUGUCUCGCACGAGAUAGAGCGAGCCGAAAAGUAUACACGCAAAAGAUGUGUUCCCGCAAUCUAGCAAUUUCGUUGGCAUUGAUUAUCGCACUGGUACCACUGUCAACUGUCGCCUUACCUCACCACAGCAUCGUGAAGCGCAGCUCUUUUUUUGACAUCGAAUGUAAAGGACAGUUCAACAAACAGAUCUUCUACCGGUUGGACCGAAUAUGUGAAGACUGUUACUCACUGUUCCGGGAGCCACAGAUACUGUCCUUCUGCAAAAAGCAGUGUUUCACGACAGAUUACUUCAAGGGCUGUAUAGACGCGUUACAGCUGACGGAUGAGAUCGAAAACUUUAAACCGCUGAUAAAAGUGCUAAACGGUGCUGAUCCAAACACGUUAUAAAACCUUCUGGCACUGGCAGAUAAUAUACGGUUUGACCGACACUGCAUUCUGCAUUCGUGCCACUAGCGCUCCUCCAGUUAACCUGAUCCCAACCUUACCCCCCGAUCGACCGAAACAUUUUCGCAUUUGGAAACGAGUGUAGCAUCCGAGCAGUGGAACGAUCGAGCCGAACGACGAACAACACUAUUCGCCUGCCAGGCAGAAGCUUUGCCAUGGCACUUGGAGGAGAUGUGUUGAUAUGCUGUUAGAUGCAACGCUCGGUAUAACUAUUCGAACAACCGACGGAAGACUACCACCAGUGGAAACUGGAUCGAUCGGCGGACCCACCAGUACACCAAAUAUGUACCACACACCAGCAAAACCCCGGCCUGUUUUUUAUGUUUCAUGCAUUUAGUUCUCUUGACUUAAUGGGAGGGCUGCUUCGGUACGGACUACUUCCUGGCCUGCGUCGAAGCACUGUUUCUCGAGGAGGAGAAGGAAAAGUUUAUGAAAUGGCGCGAAAUGUUGGGCAAAAAGAAGUAAGCUGUGUGUAAGCCGGGAUUGUUGUGCGCCAUCCAGCUGACGCCGAUGUAAAGCAGUUACGACGAGUGUGGCACCUUUUUGCUUCUUGUUUUGUGAAAACCAGCCGCCAUCCCCGUUUCGAACCAACCGAAUCAAUCCAAUCACCAACAACAACAAUGUGCUCUCUACUAAUGUUUUGUGCGAAGCGAAGAUAGGAUAGGCUAUAGAUGGCUUGUUUGCUUCCCUUGCAGUGCUGAAACGUUUAUUUAUGCUUAAGUACUUUAGCGCCGCCUGUAAAAUAUUGACCGAGGUUCGUUCUCGAUCACCCGGAUAUUGGCCGACUCUAGAGAGAAAGAUAUCUAUGUAUAGUGAGCGAGAGAUUAUGCCAUUAAUGUUACACGUUAAACAGCUUCCGUUACAUUUGUACAUACUUAUUUCACCCGGCUACCGCCUAGCUAGUUUGAACAGUGCAACAGUCGAAGCAGUACACAGGGUGCCGUGCGUGUGAAUGAUGGCCAUUAGAGUAGAGAUAGGCAGGAAGGGUUGAAGUUGAAAGGAGUGUGUGUGCGUGUGUGCGUGCGUGCGUGCUUUGAGUGGAUGUGCCUGGUCGGGUUUAGAAAGGGGCUAAAAAGCCCGGAGAGCGGGUGUUAUGUUACGUUCGAACGGACGAAAGAAAGGUAUUUAUUUUAAUCCUUAGCGACAACUAAAGCCAACAAAUGGGAAUAAGCAUAUAUGAUAUAAUUUUACAUUGUUCAGUUUACGAAGCAACAUGUGCAAGCUUGCGGAAGAAUUAAACCUCCUUAAUUAUGUAAGCGGCUAGGUGAGCAGAUUAACUUAUUUAGUUAUCAGUGCAUUGCUAAGACAUUUGAAUGGGGCCCCGUUGACGGUAGUGUGGAGCCGAGCGCACGAGAUCCAGCGAGCAGGUAACAAGUGCAAGCGCUUUCAGUGACAAAAGUAUGCAAAACGAAACGAUCGUGAUCGCACAAACGAAAAAGAGAAAAGCAAACGAGCAACUAUGUUUAACUAGUUCAGUUGAGCGGUGUUGUGGGAAGAAAACAGGGACGAAAAGUUCGAAAGCACUGAAAUGAAGAAGGAAAGGUACCGAAGGUGGAAAAUGUGGUGGUGUGUGGUGCUAAGUUGUAUGCGGCGGGGAAGGUAAUGGUUGUCGUCUAGAGAGGAGCCGUUGGCCAUUGCCACCACCCACCCCGAACAGCACUUGCCACAAAGUCCUUUAUUUCUUGGAUUUCCUUCGAGGAGUACUUGGUCCUCGUGCUUGUGCCCGACUGGCAGAUGUCAUUUUUUGUUUCUUCACACACCACACACACUCACGCAAGCAAAGCUUCCUGUAGCGCAUAGGUCUACCACAGGUCUGCCCCCGUUCUAGUAGUGAUCAAACAUCAUCUUAUGUAAAAUGUGUAUUUAUGUUUUCAGAGAAAAACGGGAACGUGAACGAUAAAGUACGGCAAACGGCGUAUGUUCUAUUUUGAAAUCUAGUCCAGAAAGCACACACACUAACUUUUAGUUUUUUUUAAUUAUUAUUAUUAUUAUAAGCAUAAGCAUGUUUUCUUUGUAAUACAAGUGGAAGUGGUGAUCACACACACACACACACACACAGGCAGGCGUAGAGUAGCACAAAACACAGCCAGAUGCCACAGUUUCCCACGGAUCCAAGGAUUGGCAACUGCAUUCUUCAUCUACUUUCUACCACGUGCCAAGCGGGCGAAAAUAAUCAAAGAUUAUAUUGUACAAGUAUAAUGCAAACAAAAGAGAAGAGUAUUUUUUAAAUUUCAAACCAUAACGAUCAAUCCAAAUUCACAGACACACUCACACAGACUCUUGCUUCCGAAUACAAAAAGAAACGCGGUACAGUGGGGUGCCCGCAAAUCGCAUAUAAAUAUUAAAACUAUACGUAUCUAAGUUUAAUCGCAUCGUAAUAGCAUAUUGUUUUCUGCUAGCAAACAAACAAACAAACAGACAAGGUUUUAAACAACAGGCGAAGGAAAUCAAUUUUGACAUUCCUUUUUAGACAGUAUUUUUUUCCCCCGAACUACGAAGGAAUAAUAAUUUUUCGUUACGUUGCUAUUGUCUAUGCGUUAUGCGCUCUAUCGUACACUUAAUUUUAGUUUCUAAUUUUGUUCUUCCGUUUGUACAAAACACCCGACUUUCAAAACUUGCAACAGGCGACAGCCACACAGCAUCGCGUGUCUACAGAUUCUUUCCUUUUUUUUGUUUUUGGUUUACAGUCGCUAGGACGCGGUGAAAUCUUACCUAACAUCCGGCUAACAUUAGAGGAACAGCGUGCAGACGGGAAUUUACGGAGCUAGUUUGAUGCUACCUUUGACAACCAGUUAAGCUAAAGUGUAGAUAACAAAAGGUCAAUCUAACGUGUAUGCUAACGUAUCUAAAAGAUACCUUCAAAACCAAUGCGCCGUGUGGACACAGCUAAACGAGAUUCUGAACCAGUUGACUAGAAACUAGUGCACAUACAUACAAGAGAGCCACUUUGUCGUUUUUUUGGAGCAAACCGCCUGUCUAGAAAAGUGAAAGGCAAAAGAGUUAUUAAACAAACAGCAAGCACCAUGAAAAAUUUACAAAAAAAAAAACACACACACACACACACACACACACGUAAAUCAAUGUUAAAGCUUCCCUUAAACGCCCACCACAGGUGCUGCGGUUAAUGAGCGGGGGGAAUGGAAUAUAAGAAAACAGGAACAAACAAACAAAAAAAGAAACAUUUGGUGUAAAUUUAAUGUAAACAAACAAAAAACCGAAUUCGAUGGAUGGAGGAAAACUGUUUUGAACACACAUACACACACACACACAAAAUGCUAAAGAACGCGAGAGGAUGUGGUGUAAACAAAACUAUGAUACUAAUAUGAUGGCAAACAUACUAUGUUAAAUAAAAGUACAGUGGAAGAAAUAAUAAAAUAGAACCAUUGAACAUGUGUA
Anopheles stephensi (Asian malaria mosquito) is the source of this 5011-nucleotide RNA transcript. It is a transcript of the gene named CHH-like protein, with no coding region annotated. The record is from RefSeq and is a predicted model, not a curated record. NCBI's taxonomy places the organism in Eukaryota, Metazoa, Arthropoda, Insecta, Diptera, Culicidae. The transcript has 4 exons.